GUGCUGCUUCAGUAGAACAUACACUAAAAUUGGACCAAUACACCAAAGACUGGCUUGGCCCCUGAGCAAGUAUGACACAAAAAUUCACAAGUAUGUCCAACUUGAC
Molecule: small nuclear RNA, 106 nt
Organism: Jaculus jaculus (lesser Egyptian jerboa)
Lineage: Eukaryota; Metazoa; Chordata; Mammalia; Rodentia; Dipodidae
Source: Ensembl